Dreissena polymorpha is the source of this 1090-nucleotide long non-coding RNA. RefSeq lists it as uncharacterized. The transcript is spliced from 3 exons. Lineage: Eukaryota; Metazoa; Mollusca; Bivalvia; Myida; Dreissenidae. The record is from RefSeq and is a predicted model, not a curated record.
CUUGUUGUUAAAAUGAAGUUAAUGUAAUUUCACAAACAGUAGAGUUAAUGAGUUUUUCCAUUAACAAGAAUUUCUUAAAAUAAUAAUGUAUGGAUAUCAUUUGGAAAGUGACAUGAAAUGUUGUUAAAAAGUGAUGCAUACAAGUGUUUCAGAAGUCUGUCUAGGAAUAGAACAACAACUGAAGCUGACCAGUUGAUGGAAGAUACUGCAGAGUUUGGCAGGGAAAUAACCCAAGACAGCAAAGCGGCUCUUUUGGCGCAUUUACCAAGAGGACUAACAUGGCCACAAAUUCAUGAGAUCAUGCAGGAGCCGUACAGUAUAACAGCAGUACAAGUUCUAUAAAAGAUCCACGACCUACUGAAGCCCAGCUAAUUAACAAAAAAGUUUUUAAAAACUGUAAUUUUAUCCCACCUGGGUACUUAUAAUUUACUAAGCUGCCUACACAAGUUUUAGACUUGCAAUUAUAUUUUAAAUUGUCACUUGGAAAGUAAUACAUGUACAUGAAUUAUGUUCUGAAUUUCUUUGAACAAUAAAAUUAUAUAAAAGUAUUUUAAUGAAAUUAAGCACCUAAAUUGCAUUAAAGUGAAAGUAGCUGAGAACAAGAUGUGUUUGUGAAACACAAUGUCCCCCUAUAUGACGUUUGACCUUGAAGGAUGACCUUGACCUUGACCCUUCACCACUCAAAAUGUGCAGCUCCAUGAGAUACACAUGCAUGUCAAAUAUAAAAUUGCUAGCUUCAAUAUUGCAGAAGUUACAUUACAUGAGCAAUUUUGACCCAUAUAUUUGACCUAGAAGGAUGACCUUGACCUUGACCUUUCACCACUCAAAAUGUGCAGCUCCAUAAGUUACACAUGCAUGCCAAAUAUCAAGUUGCUAUCUUCAAUAUUGCAAAAGUUUUCAUAAAAUAAGUGAUUUGGGCCACAUAUAUUUGACCUCUGACCUUGAAGGAUGACCUUGACCUUUCACCACUCAAAAUGUGCAGCUCUAUGAGAUACACAUGCAUGCCAAAUAUCAAGUUGCUAUAUUCAAUAUAGCAAAAGUUUUUGCAAAAUGUUAAAGUUGGCGCAAACCAACCAACCAACCAACAGAC